AUUGAACGCUAGCGGGAUGCUUUACACAUGCAAGUCGAACGAGCGGCGGACGGGUGAGUAAUAUCUCGGAAAGUGCCCAGUGGCGGGGGCUAACUACUCGAACCAGUAGCUAAUACCGCAUACUAUUGGAUCGGCCCAUAUUGGAUUAGCUAGUUGGUGGGGUAAAGGCUCACCAAGGCAACGAUCCGUAGCUGGUCUGAGAGGAAGACCAGCCACACUGGAACUGAGACACGGCCCAGACUCCUACGGGAGGCAGCAGUGGGGAAGUUUGGACAAUGGGGGAAACCCUGAUCCAGCCAUCCCGCGUGUAUGAGAAGGCCUUCGGGUUGUAAAGUACUUUUGGCAGAGAAGCGGUAUCUGCAGAAUAAGCACCGGCUAACUACGUGCCAGCAGCCGCGGUAAUUC
RNAcentral lists this ribosomal RNA (405 nucleotides) under uncultured bacterium. RNAcentral describes it as "partial 16S ribosomal RNA". It matches the Rfam family "Bacterial small subunit ribosomal RNA", at positions 30 to 526 of the family's 1533-position model. The record is from RNAcentral.